RNAcentral lists this unclassified non-coding RNA (583 nucleotides) under Hevea brasiliensis (rubber tree). The record is from RNAcentral. Lineage: Eukaryota; Viridiplantae; Streptophyta; Magnoliopsida; Malpighiales; Euphorbiaceae.
GGACAAUAUACUCUAGACCAAGUUUCCUUUGGUGCGAAUUUAUAUUGAUUAUCUUAUGAAUGCAUAACAUAAGAGGAAAAUGUAUAAUGUACAUUACCUGCAUUGAUCUUGUUGUUUACUCUUAGUAACUUAACUUUAAAGAUGAAAUAUAUGUGAGUCCUUUUAGUGGCAAUAUGUGAUUAUCAACUUCAUUUGCGUUAGAUUUUACAUGUUAUCUAAGUCACUAAGAAGAAAAAUGCCUCGUGAAGGUGUUGAAUCGUGCUUUUGGUUGCUAAAAAGCUAGAAAACGUGGAAGUUUUAUUAUUUUCUAUAUGUGCAAUGCAAGACCAAAUAACUCAUUGUCUAACGUAGGUUGUUGGUAUUGGAUGUGUAUAUUAAAAGAUAGCAUAAAGGAAUCGAAGAACCACACAUGCUAAAACAAGGUAGUGAACUUUAAAAAGAAGGAAAAACAAGUGACUUUAAGAAUGAGUUGCUAAAGAAUGAAACUCGAAUUCUAACAACUAAACCUCAAUCCCAAACUUGCAGCUCUAUUUGAAGCCAAUUUCGUAUCAAUAGUAAAAAAUUAUAAAUAUUUAAAUAUUAC